RNAcentral lists this transfer RNA (21 nucleotides) under Staelia thymoides. Its description in RNAcentral is "partial tRNA-Cys". RNAcentral also lists the same sequence under 1 other name. Lineage: Eukaryota; Viridiplantae; Streptophyta; Magnoliopsida; Gentianales; Rubiaceae. The record is from RNAcentral.
UCGCCUGAUCAAAUCAAUAAA